This 427-nucleotide ribosomal RNA is filed under the name uncultured Methanosaeta sp. RNAcentral describes it as "bacterial SSU rRNA". It matches the Rfam family "Archaeal small subunit ribosomal RNA", at positions 911 to 1338 of the family's 1478-position model. The record is from RNAcentral. Lineage: Archaea; Methanobacteriati; Methanobacteriota; Methanomicrobia; Methanotrichales; Methanotrichaceae.
UUCAACGCCGGAAAUCUUACCGGGACCGACAGCAAUAUGAAGGCCAGGCUGAAGACUUUGCCGGAUUAGCUGAGAGGUGGUGCAUGGCCGUCGUCAGUUCGUACUGUGAAGCAUCCUGUUAAGUCAGGCAACGAGCGAGACCCACGCCCACAGUUGCCAGCGUACUCUCUGGAGUGACGGGUACACUGUGGGACCGCCGCUGCUAAAGCGGAGGAAGGAAUGGGCAACGGUAGGUCAGUAUGCCCCGAAUAUCCCGGGCUACACGCGAGCUACAAUGGUUGGUACAAUGGGUAUCUACCCCGAAAGGGGACGGGAAUCUCCUAAAACCAAUCUUAGUUCGGAUUGAGGGCUGCAACUCGCCCUCAUGAAGCUGGAAUCCGUAGUAAUCGCGUUUCAACAGAACGCGGUGAAUACGUCCCUGCUCCUU